Molecule: long non-coding RNA, 498 nt
Organism: Oreochromis aureus
Lineage: Eukaryota; Metazoa; Chordata; Actinopteri; Cichliformes; Cichlidae
Exons: 3
Source: RefSeq, a predicted model, not a curated record
GGGCCUACUGCCUCCCUCACCUGAAGCUGAUUGAGGCAAUCAUGUUGGAGAUUUAAGCUGCUUGCUGACACUGCUUCCUCGCCAGUUCGUCAACUACCCUAUUUACUCCUGAAAAUUCCAUCACACUGAACAACUCAUCUGGGAAAUCUGGUUAACCCGCCUGCUUUCAGAAUCAUCUCUUUGCCUCACCUGCCUGCCCUCCUGCCCUCAUACUACCAUGGGAUCUUCACUGCUCAGGACAGCUGUCACACACCACCAAACCCACCUGGACCGCACCACCUCUCCUUCAACGCUUCCAUCUCCCACCUGCACAUACGUACCUAAUCACCAGCCAGCUGCCAUUGCUUUCUUGGACCUGUCCCCUUGCUUAUCCCUCUCCCCUGGCCAAGACCCUCACGCCCCAUGUGUCAAGCCUUAAGUCAAGUACUAUCGUAAACAUCAUUUUUUUUGUGCUAGUCAAUAAACCUUUGUUAAACCCUUUCCUCAGCCUCUGCUUUG